RNAcentral lists this ribosomal RNA (758 nucleotides) under uncultured bacterium. Its description in RNAcentral is "bacterial SSU rRNA". It matches the Rfam family "Bacterial small subunit ribosomal RNA", at positions 32 to 764 of the family's 1533-position model. The record is from RNAcentral.
AACGCUAGCGGCGUGCCUAACACAUGCAAGUCUAACGGGAAAGUCAGACUUCGGUUUGACAAGUACAGUGGCGCACGGGUGAGUAACGCGUGGAUAAUCUACCCUUGAGUGGGGAAUAACCUACCGAAAGGUGGGCUAAUACCGCAUACGACUACCGGUCUUAAGGCUGGUAGUUAAAGGCGGGGAUCCUUCGGGACCUGUCGCUUGGGGAUGAGUCCGCGUUCCAUCAGCUUGUUGGUGAGGUAAUGGCUUACCAAGGCUAAGACGGAUAGCUGGUCUGAGAGGACGAUCAGCCACACUGGGACUGAAACACGGCCCAGACUCCUACGGGAGGCAGCAGUGGGGAAUAUUGCGCAAUGGGGGAAACCCUGACGCAGCGACGUCGCGUGUAGGAAGAAGGCCUUCGGGUCGUAAACUACUGUCUGGAGGGAAGAAAUUCAUAUAGGUCAAUACCCUAUGUGAUUGACGGUACCUCCGAAGGAAGCAUCGGCUAACUACGUGCCAGCAGCCGCGGUAAUACGUAGGAUGCAAGCGUUGCUCGGAUUUACUGGGUGUAAAGCGCGCGUAGGUGGUCAGGCAAGUCAGGGGUGAAAUCCCUCGGCUCAACCGAGGAAUUGCCCUUGAAACUGCUUGACUUGAGUACUGGAGAGGAAAGCGGAAUUCCUGGUGUAGCGGUGAAAUGCGUAGAUAUCAGGAGGAACACCGGCGGCGAAGGCGGCUUUCUGGACAGAUACUGACACUGAGGCGCGAAAGCGUGG